GACCUGGUUCUUCAAAGCCCCUGCUGCAAGCGGCUCACUGACCCUCUGCAGCUUCUUUCUGAUCCCAUCGCCUCAUCUACAGGGCAGGGGGACAGAUGCCAUGACACCCAGCUCCAUCCUGCCUCCCCACCAGGCUCUGAAUCAAGGUCCAUCACCUCUGCUUUUUAUGCCAGCGGAUCCCUGAGCUGCCUGAUAGUUCGUGACUCCACCUGGCGAUGACUCCUCAUCAGGAAGCUGAGCCCCUCCGGAUGCCUCAGAAAGAGAAACCAGCACUUCCCCACAUGGCUCUUCAGUGGCCGCCACCCUGGACAUCGGAGCUGUGGCUUCUCCUGCUGGAUGGAUGCCCACAGCCCUGGAGAGAGCACGGAUGUGAGGACUUGAAAGGCUCCCACUUAUCACCGAGGAAGCAGGAGGAGGACAAGAGCCCCUCUGCCUCUGGAGAGAGAGACCCGGAACCUGGUGCUCCAACCAAAUGCUGUAGCUGGGACCAUCCAUCUUGGAGAAGCGGUCCAGGCCAACUGGAAAGUGUCCAGAGGUGCCACAGCCACGCUGAGUCCAAGGAAACAGUGCCGAGCAUCCAGAGUCACAGGGGCAGCAGCCAAGAAGAUGGUUCCCGAGGUUCACCUUUGCCUGGCCUCGUUUCCCACUGCGCCCUGGUUUGUGCCUUCUGCUCACACUGGAUGCUGCCUUGCCUUUCACAGUUGGUCUUGUUUCAUUUCUUCUGUGGACCAGCUGACUGA
Molecule: long non-coding RNA, 740 nt
Filed under: Capra hircus (goat)
Lineage: Eukaryota; Metazoa; Chordata; Mammalia; Artiodactyla; Bovidae
Description: lncRNA (ENSCHIG00010000706.1)
Source: RNAcentral